GUCUACGGCCAUACCACCCUGAACGCGCCCGAUCUCGUCUGAUCUCGGAAGCUAAGCAGGGUCGGGCCUGGUUAGUACUUGGAUGGGAGAAAUCAUAGCCAAACUGUAUUAAAAAUCAGACUGUUUUACAUU
This 132-nucleotide ribosomal RNA is filed under the name Saimiri boliviensis boliviensis (Bolivian squirrel monkey). The record is from RNAcentral. Lineage: Eukaryota; Metazoa; Chordata; Mammalia; Primates; Cebidae.